RNAcentral lists this unclassified non-coding RNA (244 nucleotides) under Hevea brasiliensis (rubber tree). The record is from RNAcentral. Lineage: Eukaryota; Viridiplantae; Streptophyta; Magnoliopsida; Malpighiales; Euphorbiaceae.
ACUCUGAAGUUCCACCUGUAUUUUAUUUUCCAGGUCCAUUCCCUGAUCCACUCAGAAUGCCUAUGCUUUCUCCUGUGCCGCCUGUCUUCGUUCAUGUACCAGAUACCCAGUUGCAAACUAGAAUAGUGAACCAGAUGGAUUAUUAUUUCAGUAAUGAGAAUUUGAUUAAGGACAUAUUCUUGCGAAAGAACAUGGAUGAACAUGGAUGGGUUCCGGUUACACUAAUAGCGGGCUUCAAUAAAGU